ACGUUCCAGGGGAAGAUUCGUCCGUCUACCCUCUGGUAAUUCCCACCUCCACCCCCUGGGUAGCGUCUCAGAAGUAUAGCGUUAGAGGCCCUAUAAGCUUGGAGAACCUGAUAUAUUGGAGACUUGACGUGCUAACAGUGGUACGGCAGGAAGGAGUGAAGCCUAAGGAUGAAGACUUCUGCCUUCUCCUUAGACUCCUGUCUGCAUCUCACUCACCACAUGUCGAUGGGGGUGGAGUACUCCGUGGAUCCCAGCAGCACGUCUGGGGGCCUGUACCAGAGGGUCACCACCUCAUUGGAGUAGGUCUUUGUAGGCACUGAUUUGGCCCGGGCCAGGCCUAGGAAGAGACUUGUCACUAAACCUCUGCUAAAGGGUCCUGAAGGGUCACAUACUCAGUCACCCCCCAGAAUCCCUACACCUGAGGAGGCUGUGCACCCGAGGAGUCAGACCCACCUGCCAACCCUUACCCUGACCCUGGCAUCAGCCUCACCAAAGUCAGCCAGUUUCAGUUCCCCCCUCUCAUUGAUGAGCAGGUUCUGGGGCUUCAGGUCCCGGUGUAGGAUCUUGCGGCGGUGGCAAUAGGCCAGACCCCGGAGCAGCUGGAACAUAAAAAUCUGACGAAGAGAGGAGAAAUGAGAAACGUGUGGGAUCAGGUCCCAUGUGGGAGCCUCUACGCUUCUGUCUCGGGCUGGACAGGAACGGGGACCAGGACAAGUCUCUAGGGAGGCUCCCUGGUUCUGUUGCCCACCCUGUAGGUCACCCAG
RNAcentral lists this long non-coding RNA (764 nucleotides) under Rattus norvegicus (Norway rat). RNAcentral's name for it is "long non-coding RNA NONRATT008199". Lineage: Eukaryota; Metazoa; Chordata; Mammalia; Rodentia; Muridae. The record is from RNAcentral.